This 96-nucleotide transfer RNA is filed under the name Nitratireductor sp. Its description in RNAcentral is "tRNA-Arg". It matches the Rfam family "tRNA". From Rfam's summary of the family: Transfer RNA (tRNA) molecules are approximately 80 nucleotides in length. Their secondary structure includes four short double-helical elements and three loops (D, anti-codon, and T loops). Further hydrogen bonds mediate the characteristic L-shaped molecular structure. tRNAs have two regions of fundamental functional importance: the anti-codon, which is responsible for specific mRNA codon recognition, and the 3' end, to which the tRNAs corresponding amino acid is attached (by aminoacyl-tRNA synthetases). tRNAs cope with the degeneracy of the genetic code in two manners: having more than one tRNA (with a specific anti-codon) for a particular amino acid; and 'wobble' base-pairing, i.e. permitting non-standard base-pairing at the 3rd anti-codon position. The record is from RNAcentral. Lineage: Bacteria; Pseudomonadati; Pseudomonadota; Alphaproteobacteria; Hyphomicrobiales; Phyllobacteriaceae.
CGCGACGUAGUUCAACGGAAGAACACUCCGCUUUCUACUCGACUGCCUUUCAGGUCGAGGGUGGUGAGGUUGCAGGUUCGAAUCCUGUCGUCGCGU